RNAcentral lists this long non-coding RNA (284 nucleotides) under Gossypium raimondii (Peruvian cotton). Its description in RNAcentral is "long non-coding RNA (GRAI_LNC004377)". Lineage: Eukaryota; Viridiplantae; Streptophyta; Magnoliopsida; Malvales; Malvaceae. The record is from RNAcentral.
GCAAAAUACGCGGACCCUCCGAGUCGGGUCGGGUCAACGCGCGGAUCCCCUCACCAAAACGGCGUCGUUUUGAUAAUCUUUAAAAUCAAAAAAAAAUAUUCUGAAACUUCAUUUUUUAUGCUGCAAAAAUAAAAAAAAAAGAGAGAGAUCCUCUCUUUGGAGUCUGGAAGACUCCAACCUUUGGAGUUCCAACCUCCACCGCGCCGUUCAUACACCCAUAGCACCACCGCCAUAGCCGACGGUCGGCGAUGCGUCAAAUCGAGCCUUUGCAGCCCCUUUCCCCG